RNAcentral lists this ribosomal RNA (826 nucleotides) under uncultured bacterium. RNAcentral describes it as "bacterial SSU rRNA". It matches the Rfam family "Bacterial small subunit ribosomal RNA", at positions 97 to 929 of the family's 1533-position model. The record is from RNAcentral.
GGCGCACGGGUGCGUAACGCGUAUGCAAUCUACCCUUUACUGGAGAAUAGCCCGGAGAAAUUCGGAUUAAUGCCCCAUAUGCUCGUAGGAUCUCCUGAUCCAGCGAGGAAAGCUCCGGCGGUAAAGGAUGAGCAUGCGUCCCAUUAGCUUGUUGGUGAGGUAACGGCUCACCAAGGCGACGAUGGGUAGGGGGCCUGAGAGGGCGAUCCCCCACACUGGUACUGAGACACGGACCAGACUCCUACGGGAGGCAGCAGUGAGGAAUAUUGGGCAAUGGAGGCAACUCUGACCCAGCCAUGCCGCGUGCAGGAAGACGGUCCUUGGAUUGUAAACUGCUUUUAUUAGGGAAUAAACCCUCCUACGUGUAGGAGGCUGAAGGUACCUGAUGAAUAAGCAUCGGCUAACUCCGUGCCAGCAGCCGCGGUAAUACGGAGGAUGCAAGCGUUAUCCGGAUUUAUUGGGUUUAAAGGGUCCGUAGGCGGGUAUUUAAGUCAGUGGUGAAAGCCCACAGCUCAACUGUGGAACUGCCAUUGAUACUGGAUGUCUUGAGUAUAGUAGAAGUAGGCGGAAUAGGGCAUGUAGCGGUGAAAUGCAUAGAUAUGCCCUAGAACACCGAUUGCGAAGGCAGCUUACUAUGUUAUAACUGACGCUGAGGGACGAAAGCGUGGGGAGCAAACAGGAUUAGAUACCCUGGUAGUCCACGCCGUAAACGAUGAUUACUCGCUGCUGGCGAUAUACAGUCAGUGGCCAAGCGAAAGCAUUAAGUAAUCCACCUGGGGAGUACGCCGGCAACGGUGAACUCAAAGGAUGAUGGGGCCCGCACAGC